CCUACGGGAGGCAGCAGUGAGGAAUAUUGGUCAAUGGACGUGAGUCUGAACCAGCCAAGUAGCGUGCAGGAUGACGGCCCUAUGGGUUGUAAACUGCUUUUAUGUGGGAAUAAAGUCACUUACGUGUGAGUGUUUGCAUGUACCGCAUGAAUAAGGACCGGCUAAUUCCGUGCCAGCAGCCGCGGUAAUACGGAAGGUCCCGGCGUUAUCCGGAUUUAUUGGGUUUAAAGGGAGCGUAGGCUGCCGUUUAAGCGUGUUGUGAAAUGUACCGGCUCAACCGGUGAUGUGCAGCGCGAACUGGAUGGCUUGAGUUCGAAGAGGGAAUGCGGAACUCGUGGUGUAGCGGUGAAAUGCUUAGAUAUCACGAGGAACUCCGAUCGCGAAGGCAGCCUGCGGGAGUGU
Molecule: ribosomal RNA, 402 nt
Filed under: uncultured Treponema sp.
Lineage: Bacteria; Pseudomonadati; Spirochaetota; Spirochaetia; Treponematales; Treponemataceae
Description: bacterial SSU rRNA
Rfam family: Bacterial small subunit ribosomal RNA
Source: RNAcentral